UACGUAGGGUGCGAGCGUUGUCCGGAAUUAUUGGGCGUAAAGGGCUCGUAGGCGGUUUGUCGCGUCGGGAGUGAAAACUCAGGGCUUAACCCUGAGCCUGCUUCCGAUACGGGCAGACUGGAGGCAGGUAGGGGAGAACGGAAUUCCCGGUGUAGCGGUGAAAUGCGCAGAUAUCGGGAGGAACACCGGUGGCGAAGGCGGUUCUCUGGGCCUGUACUGACGCUGAGGAGCGAAAGCGUGGGGAGCGAACAGG
RNAcentral lists this ribosomal RNA (253 nucleotides) under uncultured bacterium. RNAcentral describes it as "partial 16S ribosomal RNA". It matches the Rfam family "Bacterial small subunit ribosomal RNA", at positions 524 to 776 of the family's 1533-position model. The record is from RNAcentral.